Molecule: unclassified non-coding RNA, 377 nt
Filed under: uncultured Actinomycetes bacterium
Lineage: Bacteria; Bacillati; Actinomycetota; Actinomycetes
Description: uncultured actinobacterium contains 16S-23S intergenic spacer region
Source: RNAcentral
UCCGAGUUGACCCCGGCAGUCUCCUAUGAGUCCCCGCCAUAACGCGCUGGCAACAUAGAACGAGGGUUGCGCUCGUUGCGGGACUUAACCCAACAUCUCACGACACGAGCUGACGACAACCAUGCACCACCUGUACAGGACCCUUGCGGACCUGACAUCUCUGCCAGAUUUCCCUGUAUGUCAAGCCUUGGUAAGGUUCUUCGCGUUGCGUCGAAUUAAGCCGCAUGCUCCGCCGCUUGUGCGGGCCCCCGUCAAUUCCUUUGAGUUUUAGCCUUGCGGCCGUACUCCCCAGGCGGGGCGCUUAAUGCGUUAGCUACGGCACGGAUCCCGUGGAAGGAAACCCACACCUAGCGCCCACCGUUUACGGCGUGGACUAC